CCCGGCGCGCAAGCGUCACUCCCACCUGAAUAUAGUAGGGUGGGUAGAGCGAACGCAGCGAACUGAAACAUCUAAGUAGCUGUAGGAAAAGAAAUCAACCGAGAUUCCCAAAGUAGUGGCGAGCGAAAUGGGAAGAGCCUGUAUGUGAUAGUCAACUGGUUAGUGGAACGGAAUGGAAAGUCCGGCGAUAGAGGGUGAUAGCCCCGUACACGAAAACUGGUUGGUGGUACUGAGCAUACGACAAUUAGGGCGGGGCACGAGAAACCUUGUCUGAACAUGGGGGGACCAUCCUCCAAGGCUAAAUACUCGUAAUCGACCGAUAGUGAACCAGUACCGUGAGGGAAAGGCGAAAAGAACCCCGGGAGGGGAGUGAAAUAGAACCUGAAACCGUGUGCAUACAAACAGUGGGAGCGGACUUGUUCCGUGACUGCGUACCUUUUGUAUAAUGGGUCAGCGAC
This 458-nucleotide ribosomal RNA is filed under the name uncultured bacterium. RNAcentral describes it as "bacterial LSU rRNA". It matches the Rfam family "Bacterial large subunit ribosomal RNA", at positions 127 to 627 of the family's 2925-position model. The record is from RNAcentral.